This is a transfer RNA of 111 nucleotides. It matches the Rfam family "tRNA". From Rfam's summary of the family: Transfer RNA (tRNA) molecules are approximately 80 nucleotides in length. Their secondary structure includes four short double-helical elements and three loops (D, anti-codon, and T loops). Further hydrogen bonds mediate the characteristic L-shaped molecular structure. tRNAs have two regions of fundamental functional importance: the anti-codon, which is responsible for specific mRNA codon recognition, and the 3' end, to which the tRNAs corresponding amino acid is attached (by aminoacyl-tRNA synthetases). tRNAs cope with the degeneracy of the genetic code in two manners: having more than one tRNA (with a specific anti-codon) for a particular amino acid; and 'wobble' base-pairing, i.e. permitting non-standard base-pairing at the 3rd anti-codon position. The record is from Rfam.
GGCAACUUGGCGGAGUGGUUAACGCGAUUGACUCGAAUGUUCCAGCAUCACUAGCUAGACAUCAUUGAUCAAUUUCCUUCGGGAGCGCAUGUUCGAAUCAUGCAGUUGUCG